UCACCACCACCGAAACGCAACAACUCACUCACAAUGGCAGCGAGAAUCGGAUCCUUGAGGCACAACUUCGAGGAGAGGCUCCUCUCGAAAAUGGACUUCCCGGAGUUGAGGCUCAACGGAAACAGCAACCCCAACGCGCUCUCCGAUCGCGUGAUGAGGCUCUGCAGUGGCAUGCGUGAGUUUUUCCAGAAGCUACAGGAGAUGGGUCGCUCCGAUCCGAGAAAGGUUGUGUUCGCCAUGAAAGCAGGGCUAUCGUUGGCACUCGUUUCGUUGGUUAUAUACAUUAAGGAGGAACAGUUAAGCAAGUAUUCCAUUUGGGCCAUCCUCACCGUCGUUGUUGUUUUCGAAUUCAGCGUAGGUGCGACCCUGAACAAAGGAUUCAAUCGUUCUUUGGGAACGAUUUCUGCUGGAGGGCUUGCUCUUGGUAUUGCACAGUUAUCCGUUUUAGCCGGGAAGUUUGAGGAACUUAUUAUUGUACUCAGUAUAUUUAUUGCAGGAUUUUGUGCAAGCUAUGUGAAGCUGUACCCUGCAAUGAAGUCAUAUGAAUAUGGCUUUCGGGUGUUUUUGUUGACAUUUUGUAUUGUAUUGGUAUCAGGGAGAACUAGCAGGGAAUUUUUCACAACAGCGUUUUACAGAUUAGUUCUUAUUGCAGUUGGUGCUGGCAUAUGUUUGUUUGUAAAUAUUUUCAUAUACCCCAUCUGGUCUGGGGAGGAUCUGCAUAAAUUAGUGGUGAAAAAUUUCAAUGGAGUUGCUACGUCUUUAGAAGGCUGUGUUAAUGGGUACCUGCAAUGUGUUGCAUAUGAGAGGGUCCCUUCAAAAAUUCUUGUUUAUCAAGCCUCUGAUGACCCUCUUUAUCGUGGCUAUAGAGCAGCAGUGCAAUCGUCAAGUCAAGAGGAGACUUUGUUAGAUUUUGCAUUAUGGGAGCCACCUCAUGGUCCAUACAAGACGUUCAAGUAUCCUUGGAGAAGUUAUGUUAAAGUCAGUGGAGCUUUGAGGCAUUGUGCUUUCAUGGUCAUGGCAAUGCAUGGAUGCAUUCUUUCAGAAAUACAGGCACCCCCAGAAAAGAGGCUGGUUUUCAGUAAUGAACUUCAGAGGGUUGGUACUGAAGGAGCUAAAGUAUUGCGUCAACUUGGAAGCAAAGUGGAAAAGAUGGAAAAACUAAGCACCUCUGACAUACUCUUGAAAGUACAUGAAGCAGCUGAGCAAUUGCAGAUGAAGAUUGACCAACAAUCAUUCCUCCUAGUCAAUUCAGAGUGCUGGCAAGCAGCAAGAACAAGAAGGCCUAAAGAAAAUGAAAAUCCUCAAAAUUUGAUUGAUGUUAAAGACAAUGAAAACAAACAGUCAAUGAUUGCUUCCCUCAGUGAAACAAGGGGUGACUCGAGACUUAACAUAAGCACAGAGCCUUCAAUGCCAGAAUUGAACUUUUCACAAAGCAUGAUGUGCAAUAAAAUAUCAUGGCCACGUCUCUCAUUCUUGGGAGAAGCCAUGGUAAGUGAGCAAGAUUCCAAAGUAUAUGAAAGUGCGAGCUCCUUGUCUUUGGCAACAUUUGCUUCACUUUUAAUAGAGUUUGUUGCAAGACUUCAAAAUCUUGUUGAUGAAUUCCAAGAUCUCAGUGAGAAGGCCAAUUUCAAAGACCCGUUUGACAAACCAAUGUUGAAGUAGGUUAAAAUGCCACUUUGGACCUGACAUUUCAGGCUCCUUAGCUUCAAAAUUGGAGUGGUAACAGAGAUUACUAACGUGAGCGGGUGGCUUCCCAGAGCUGCAUCUCGCCGUGCUCGUAGUAUUCUGAGGUGCGAAUGAUAACAAGAAUGAGGUGAUCCCCUUCUUUGACAAUGUUAUCCACCGUUCAUUUUAGUGCUUUGAUGCUGCAUGGUGAGAAAUCCACAGCCACGCCCAAUCUCCUAUUUGCAUUACCAGCCAUUUCUCUCUACAACAACGAUCAAACUAUCUUAUUCUUGAGACCUCUUUUUUGUUAAGUUGCUCUGUAUAAUAGGUCAGGUUUUUGUUUUGUUUUAUUUUUAAUGUUAACGUUUCACGUGACAUUGAGCUUUGAUGACCGAAGACCGCAACUUCUGAGGCA
This is an RNA transcript of Gastrolobium bilobum, 2080 nucleotides long. It is a transcript of the gene named aluminum-activated malate transporter 4-like, with no coding region annotated. The transcript is spliced from 7 exons. Lineage: Eukaryota; Viridiplantae; Streptophyta; Magnoliopsida; Fabales; Fabaceae. The record is from RefSeq and is a predicted model, not a curated record.